GACGAACGCUGGCGGCGUGCUUAACACAUGCAAGUCGAGCGGUAAGGCUCCUUCGGGAGUACACGAGCGGCGAACGGGUGAGCAACACGUGAGCAAUCUGCCCUUCACUUCGGGAUAACCCUCGGAAACGAGAGCUAAUACCGAAUACGACCAGUUCAGACAUCUGAUGCUGGUGGAAAGUUCCGGCGGUGAAGGAUGAGCUCGCGGCCUAUCAGCUUGUUGGUGGGGUAACGGCCCACCAAGGCUUCGACGGGUAGCCGGCCUGAGAGGGUGACCGGCCACACUGGGACUGAGACACGGCCCAGACUCCUACGGGAGGCAGCAGUGGGGAAUAUUGGACAAUGGGCGAAAGCCUGAUCCAGCAACGCCGCGUGAGGGAUGACGGCCUUCGGGUUGUAAACCUCUUUCAGCAGGGACGAAGCGCAAGUGACGGUACCUGCAGAAGAAGCACCGGCCAACUACGUGCCAGCAGCCGCAGUAA
Molecule: ribosomal RNA, 481 nt
Filed under: uncultured bacterium
Lineage: Bacteria
Description: partial 16S ribosomal RNA
Rfam family: Bacterial small subunit ribosomal RNA
Source: RNAcentral